UUUGUGUGUUAAAUAUUUCCGCGCAAAGGACAAGAUAUCUGUUUUCUUGGGCUAAGUACCGAAUUUUGGCCUAAAAAAAUGAGAUAAAGUCACUUGAAAGCGUUUGCAACGUACGCGUCCGGCAAAAUUUUGCGUCCGAAAAAUUUUUUUUACCUCUAAAAUGGUACACUGACCGAAAAAUUUUUGGCGACGGGGGGGGGGGAGGUCGCCAAAAUAAUAUCCGGAAAAAAAUUUUCCGGAAAAAUUAUUUUAGGUAGGGCCCCCUAAAAAAAAUUUGCCCCGGGCCCCCGCCAACCUCUGGGCGGCCCUGGCGGUUUGGACUUUGGGCUGUAAAUGACUUCCAAUGGUUUGUGGUCAGUGAUGAGGUCAAAUUGUGUUCCAACAAGGUAAAGAUGAAAACGUUCACAACCCCACACUGCAGC
This is a non-coding RNA of Paramuricea clavata, 422 nucleotides long. The record is from the annotation of a GenBank genome assembly. Lineage: Eukaryota; Metazoa; Cnidaria; Anthozoa; Malacalcyonacea; Plexauridae.